AUCAAUAUACACAAGGCAGGACGUAGGCUUUUACCUUCAUCGGAGGGACCAAACCUGGGUAAACUCUUCUCUCAUUCCCGAUCAACUCCUUUGAGUCACCACAUAGUUGUGAUGGCAUCAUCGCUAAGUCCUUUCACGAGGACAUCUGUCAUGAAAAAACCACGACAAGGGGUUCUCGCCCCGGCUCUCCAAAUAUAAAAAUUUGCCUGUAACAAAA
RNAcentral lists this long non-coding RNA (217 nucleotides) under Hordeum vulgare. RNAcentral's name for it is "long non-coding RNA (HVUL_LNC018751)". Lineage: Eukaryota; Viridiplantae; Streptophyta; Magnoliopsida; Poales; Poaceae. The record is from RNAcentral.